GGGAGGGGCGGGAGUAGGCCGGGGUUGACCGUUUGGUCCUGGGCGCACUGUCUGGAGCCAGAGUUCCGCCUGAGCCAGGAUGCCCGCUGGUGUGACCCCCCCAAAUGAAUCCCUUCCCAGGUUUAAGACUGGACCCAAAAACUAGAGAAUAAAAGGAAAUAACGUGCAAUGCAUGUGAAAAACUAUUCAAGGCUGGGCGCCGUGGCUCACGCCUGUAAUCUCAGCGCUUUGCGAGGCCGAGGACGGAUCAUUUCAGGGCAAGAGUUCGAGACGAGCCUGAGCAACAUAGCGAGACCCUCCCCAGUCCCCCCGCUCCAACCACCUCUACAAAAAAA
RNAcentral lists this long non-coding RNA (335 nucleotides) under Homo sapiens (human). RNAcentral's name for it is "novel transcript". The record is from RNAcentral. Lineage: Eukaryota; Metazoa; Chordata; Mammalia; Primates; Hominidae.